RNAcentral lists this ribosomal RNA (468 nucleotides) under uncultured bacterium. RNAcentral describes it as "partial 16S ribosomal RNA". It matches the Rfam family "Bacterial small subunit ribosomal RNA", at positions 28 to 507 of the family's 1533-position model. The record is from RNAcentral.
GACGAACGCUGGCGGCGUGCUUAACACAUGCAAGUCGAACGGAAAGGCCCUGCUUUUGUGGGGUGCUCGAGUGGCGAACGGGUGAGUAACACGUGAGUAACCUGCACUUGACUUUGGGAUAACUUCAGGAAACUGGGGCUAAUACCGGAUAGGAGCUCCUGCUGCAUGGUGGGGGUUGGAAAGUUUCGGCGGUUGGGGAUGGACUCGCGGCUUAUCAGCUUGUUGGUGGGGUAGUGGCUUACCAAGGCUUUGACGGGUAGCCGGCCUGAGCGGGUGACCGGCCACAUUGGGACUGAGAUACGGCCCAGACUCCUACGGGAGGCAGCAGUGGGGAAUAUUGCACAAUGGGCGGAAGCCUGAUGCAGCAACGCCGCGUGCGGGAUGACGGCCUUCGGGUUGUAAACCGCUUUCGCCUGUGACGAAGCGUGAGUGACGGUAAUGGGUAAAGAAGCACCGGCUAACUACGUG